This 492-nucleotide ribosomal RNA is filed under the name uncultured bacterium. RNAcentral describes it as "partial 16S ribosomal RNA". It matches the Rfam family "Bacterial small subunit ribosomal RNA", at positions 29 to 507 of the family's 1533-position model. The record is from RNAcentral.
AGUGAACGCUGGCGGUAGGCCUAACACAUGCAAGUCGAACGGCAGCACAGUAAGAGCUUGCUCUUACGGGUGGCGAGUGGCGGACGGGUGAGGAAUACAUCGGAAUCUACUUUUUCGUGGGGAAUAACGUAGGUAAACUUACGCUAUUACCGCAUACGACCUCCGGUUGAAAGCAGGGGAUCUUCGUACCUUGCGCGAUUGAUUGAGCCUAUGUCGGAUUAGCUAGUUGGCGGGGUAAAGGCCCACCAAGGCGACGAUCCGUAGCUGGUCUGAGAGGAUGAUCAGCCACACUGGAACUGAGACACGGUCCAGACUCCUACGGGAGGCAGCAGUGGGGAAUAUUGGACAAUGGGCGCAAGCCUGAUCCAGCAAUACCGCGUGGGUGAAGAAGGCCUUCGGGUUGUAAAGCCCUUUUGUUGGGAAAGAAAAGCAGCAGGUUAAUACCACGCUGUUCUGACGGUACCCAAAGAAUAAGCACCGGCUAACUUCGUG